Helianthus annuus (common sunflower) is the source of this 624-nucleotide long non-coding RNA. RefSeq lists it as uncharacterized. Lineage: Eukaryota; Viridiplantae; Streptophyta; Magnoliopsida; Asterales; Asteraceae. The record is from RefSeq and is a predicted model, not a curated record. The transcript is spliced from 2 exons.
AUGUCCAAAUCGUUUAUUGAACGGGCCAUAUUUGGUUUUUAUUAAAUUAAACGGGUCGACCCGUUAAGAUUUUUUUUCUCUAUUUUUCACCCAAUGAAACAAUACUAUGAUAGUGUUUUAAUGUUUUCUAUCACUUUGUGAAUGCUAGUAACCUUCCCAUUAAAUAUACUUUUGUUCCUGCUCAACCAUAAAACCCAUAUUCGAAGCCAAGGAUUUCGGUUACAAAUACGAAUACGGGGUACGGGUCGGAUCUUCCUUCCACCUACAAUCUUCUUUCAGUUCCUCUCGAAUAAAAGAGACCAAGGAAACAGAAAAAAAUGAAAAUUUUUGGGAAGAAGAUUCAUCCGAGACAGAUUAUACUGUUCUUCGCCGGGAUGCUGGUGGUUGGAUCAACAAGUUAUGAUGUUCAUAGAUCGAUCAAGAACAACGAAACGCCGCCGUCAAAAGAACAGAUCCAGGCCAUGGAAGACUACCUAGCCGCCAAACGCCGUCGUUGAUCGCCGUUCGCCGCUACAAAUUUGCCACGUGAAUGCCUGAUAUACCAUACAAUAAUUAAAUGUAAUAAAACAUGUUGGUUUUGAGUUGUAAUAAUUAUAUAAUUAAUCAUUCUAAGUAUUUAACUUU